ACGGGUGAGUAAUGUAUAGGAAUCUACCUUAGAGUGGGGGAUAACUUGGGGAAACUCGAGCUAAUACCGCAUAUUCUCUACGGAGUAAAGAGGGCCUCUGUUCACAAGCUCUCGCUUUAAGAUGAGCCUAUAUCGGAUUAGCUAGUAGGUUAGGUAACGGCUAACCUAGGCAACGAUCCGUAGCUGGUCUGAGAGGACGGCCAGCCACACUGGGACUGAGACACGGCCCAGACUCCUACGGGAGGCAGCAGUGGGGAAUACUGGACAAUGGGCGCAAGCCUGAUCCAGCAACACCGCGUGUGUGAAGAAGGCCUUCGGGUUGUAAAGCACUUUUAGCAAGGAAGAAAUGCCUAAGGUUAAUACCCUUGGGAAAUGACGUUAUUUGCAGAAAAAGCACCGGCUAACUCUGUGCCAGCAGCCGCGGUAAUACAGAGGGUGCGAGCGUUAAUCGGAAUUACUGGGCGUAAAGCGUGCGUAGGUGGAUAUUUAAGUCGGAUGUGAAAUCCCCGGGCUCAACCUGGGAACUGCAUUCGAUACUGGAUUUCUAGAGUAUAGUAGAGGAAAGC
This 566-nucleotide ribosomal RNA is filed under the name uncultured Gammaproteobacteria bacterium. RNAcentral describes it as "bacterial SSU rRNA". It matches the Rfam family "Bacterial small subunit ribosomal RNA", at positions 102 to 662 of the family's 1533-position model. Lineage: Bacteria; Pseudomonadati; Pseudomonadota; Gammaproteobacteria. The record is from RNAcentral.